AUUGAACGCUGGCGGCAUGCUUUACACAUGCGAGUCGAACGGCAGCGCGGGCUUCGGCCUGGCGGCGAGUGGCGAACGGGUGAGUAAUGCAUCGGAAAGUGCCCAGUAGUGGGGGAUAGCCCGGCGAAAGCCGGAUUAAUACCGCAUACGACCUGAGGGUGAAAGCGGGGGACCGAAAGGCCUCGCGCUAUUGGAGCGGCCGAUGUCGGAUUAGCUAGUUGGUGGGGUAAAGGCUUACCAAGGCGACGAUCCGUAGCUGGUCUGAGAGGACGACCAGCCACACUGGGACUGAGACACGGCCCAGACUCCUACGGGAGGCAGCAGUGGGGAAUUUUGGACAAUGGGGGCAACCCUGAUCCAGCCAUGCCGCGUGCGGGAAGAAGGCCUUCGGGUUGUAAACCGCUUUUGUUCGGGAAGAAAUCCUCUGGGCUAAUACCCCGGGGGGAUGACGGUACCGGAAGAAUAAGCACCGGCUAACUACGUG
Molecule: ribosomal RNA, 484 nt
Filed under: uncultured bacterium
Lineage: Bacteria
Description: partial 16S ribosomal RNA
Rfam family: Bacterial small subunit ribosomal RNA
Source: RNAcentral